This 253-nucleotide ribosomal RNA is filed under the name uncultured bacterium. RNAcentral describes it as "partial 16S ribosomal RNA". It matches the Rfam family "Bacterial small subunit ribosomal RNA", at positions 524 to 776 of the family's 1533-position model. The record is from RNAcentral.
UACAGAGGGGGCAAGCGUUAUUCGGAAUUAUUGGGCGUAAAGGGCGCGUAGGCGGCCUGGCAAGUGGAAGGUGAAAUCCCUCGGCUUAACCGAGGAACUGCCCUCCAAACUGCUUGGCUUGAGACCGGGAGAGGUGAGUGGAAUUCCCAGUGUAGCGGUGAAAUGCGUAGAUAUUGGGAGGAACACCAGUGGCGAAGGCGGCUCACUGGACCGGUACUGACGCUGAGGCGCGAAAGCGUGGGGAGCGAACAGG